Molecule: long non-coding RNA, 1588 nt
Organism: Callithrix jacchus (white-tufted-ear marmoset)
Lineage: Eukaryota; Metazoa; Chordata; Mammalia; Primates; Cebidae
Source: Ensembl
GUAGAGGAAGAGUAGAAGCUCUUAGGGGUCUGAUCUAAGCUGGAGUUUUGCUUGCAUAUGGGAAGGUAGGAGAGAAGAAGAAAUAAGAACAUCGAAUUUUCUCCUCUCUUCUCCCCCAGAAUCCUCAGAGAUUAUUUUAUUACCAUUCUUUUUCAUUUGAUUCUUAUCUAUUUGGCAAAGAAACCACAAGGAAAGCCAUGAUGAGUCAAGGCCAAAACACUGGCUGAGGAUGAUUCACUCAGUCGGCAGCACUAAUGGUGGACCUCCGGUAUGCUAGACUGCUGAACUGCGGGAGAAACAUGAUACAGACAGGACCUCGACUAGGUCAGACAAGUGAGGCACUUGCCUCUGGUAAAAAACAGAAGGGGCACCAAGAGGCUUGGCAAACAAGCAGAGAAAUUUGGACAUAGCCACCCUUCUGUACGCAGUGAGAACACAGGCAAAGACGUCUAGAUGAAGGCAAAGACUGGGGUGAUGCUUCUAUAUGCCAAGGAGCACACCGAAGAUGGGCAGCAAAGCGCCAGCAGCUGGGAGGGGCCUGGAGCAGACUCUCCCUCAGCCCUCGGAAGGAACCAGCCUUGGACUUCCACUUCCCAAAUGGAGACAAAAUAUCGCUGAACCCAAGACGUUUGUCACUGAAUCCAAGACAUUUUUCACUGAGCCCAAGACAUUUCCAAUUCCACUGAGCUUGCUGUGUUUGUGAGUGAGCCUAGGGGUGGAGUGGGGCCUAAAAAGCAGAAAAGGCUGUCAAGAUUUAAUGAACCCCACCUAAGUCCCCAGUGGAUAUUUCUGGAUGUCCUGGGUUUUUGUUUUGUAAGGUCUGUCUCUGCCAAUUAGUAGCUUAAUAACCACUAUGAAUGACCAGGAUAUUCAGCCACCAAUAUCAUCUAAGUGGGGUGGGGAACCAGGAAGCAGAGAAGACUGACAUUGUGAACCCCUCUGAUAGAAAGUGGGUAUGAGGACAAAAUAAGUACUAGAACUCGGAGAGACUGGACCUCUUUCUCCUUGUAAAUCAAGCUGAACAGGGAAAGAGGAGCUGGCAGGAGAGUUUGUCCUGCUGGUGUCAGCCCCCACAGAAGUCCCCAAGCUUCCUGGACGCCUCCAUGUGUGCUGUUGCCUGCUUGGACCCCAUCCUCAACAGCAGCUCUAAGGGCUUGUCUGGAGGCCCUGGAUGGAAGGUGCUUCCCAGCCUGAGCACCUGCAGAAGUGGCAGCUGUAUUCUUUAGGUACAUGAACAGCCUAGUUUUCAAGCCUGUGUACAAAGGUGUCUUCUUCCUCUGGGCAAACCACUCCCAGGGGCAAGAGCCACAAGGGUCAACUUAGCAAUCUUUGUCAGUGGCAAGGAGGUGACACUAAUCUCAACCACAGUCUUCUUAGCCAACUUAAGCUUAUUUUCUUCCCUUGUCUUUUCUUAGAACUGCAUCACUUCUUGCACAGGUUCUUUUUUAUCAUUUAUAAAAUGAUGAAGGCCUGGAAACGAGCCAAGAGUGACUACUUGUUCCUGAGCUAAUCUCUGUUUCCCCAGGGAUACUGCUGGAAGUUGGACAGUGAGUGGUCAGAAUUCAGAAGUUCCAGGUCAGAGGUUGGC